Long non-coding RNA from Sapajus apella (tufted capuchin), 299 nucleotides. RefSeq lists it as uncharacterized. The record is from RefSeq and is a predicted model, not a curated record. The transcript is spliced from 4 exons. Lineage: Eukaryota; Metazoa; Chordata; Mammalia; Primates; Cebidae.
CUGAAGGAUGUAGUGUCUGAUUUGCUUAAGGCUCAGGAGAUUGGUUUGACCAGGCAUGUAACUCAUGUAGACCUGGAAAAAACCGGACCUCCCAUCCUAGCCAUGAUGUUCUGCACAUGUGGGAAUACGUGAGGGCAGCCAUGUUGCCAGGCACAUGUGAGGGCAAGGGCAAGAAGACAAGGGCAGGAACCGCCGUGUUUGGGUGGACCCAGUUUCUGAUGGCCUGUAUUUGCAUAUCAAAGCUUGCUGGCCAGCUCUAAGAGCUGGGACUUUCCUUCUGGAGGAGAAACACUUUUGGA